UAAAUUGUAGGCAGAUCACCAUGCAAUUUGAAGACGUCUGAUAAAAUACAGAGAGGUGAAGUCAUGUGUCUUUCCAGAUGCCCAAAUCAUUCCCCCUUAAAAGAUGAGCCUGAAGAGGAGAUUUGGGAAGAUGCUGUUUCAUAAGUCGCUUUGCCAGAUCACCUGUGGUCGGGAUGUCUGCUAACAAGAUGCCUUGCUGGUCUGGGCGAGUUUAAAGUCUUA
Molecule: non-coding RNA, 222 nt
Organism: Misgurnus anguillicaudatus (oriental weatherfish)
Lineage: Eukaryota; Metazoa; Chordata; Actinopteri; Cypriniformes; Cobitidae
Source: RefSeq, a predicted model, not a curated record